CCCUUCGAUACGCUGGGCGGCACGCGCGCUACAAUGAGCCAUAGAAUGUGUAACAUCGUCGAGGCGGCGUUGUGAAUCGUUAAUAUGGCAUCGUGAAUGGGAUAGUCAUCUGCAAUUUCUCGACUUGAAAGAGGAAUCCCUUGUAAGGGUGUUUGAGAACAGCACUCUGAAUACGUCCCUGUGGAAUGUACACACCGCCCGUCGUUUCUCCCGACUGAUGUUUAAUGUGAAUUGCGAGGACUUCAGAAUCGCCGUGAAUGUUGAAUAUUGGAGGAAGAAAAAGUCGUAACA
RNAcentral lists this ribosomal RNA (291 nucleotides) under uncultured eukaryote. RNAcentral describes it as "partial 18S ribosomal RNA". It matches the Rfam family "Eukaryotic small subunit ribosomal RNA", at positions 1470 to 1796 of the family's 1831-position model. The record is from RNAcentral.